AGGACGAACGCUGGCGGCGCGCUUAACACAUGCAAGUCGAGCGAGAACCGGUCCUUCGGGACUGGGGAAAGCGGCGAACGGGUGAGUAACACGUGGGUAAUCAACCCCCGGCACCGGGAUAGCCCGAGGAAACUCGGAUUAAUACCGGAUGGCCCAGCAGCUCUUCGGGGCGGCUGGAAAGGGUAGCUUCGGCCUCCGGCCGGGGACGAGCCCGCGGCGGAUUAGCUUGUUGGUGGGGUAAUGGCCUACCAAGGCGACGAUCCGUAGCUGGUCUGAGAGGACGAUCAGCCACACUGGGACUGAGACACGGCCCAGACUCCUACGGGAGGCAGCAGUGGGGAAUCUUGCACAAUGGGCGAAAGCCUGAUGCAGCGACGCCGCGUGAGGGAAGAAGGCUUUCGGGUUGUAAACCUCUUUCAGCAGGGAAGAGCGAAGUGACGGUACUGCAGAAGAAGCACCGGCUAACUACGUGCCAGCAGCCGC
Molecule: ribosomal RNA, 483 nt
Filed under: uncultured bacterium
Lineage: Bacteria
Description: SSU rRNA
Rfam family: Bacterial small subunit ribosomal RNA
Source: RNAcentral